RNAcentral lists this ribosomal RNA (468 nucleotides) under uncultured bacterium. Its description in RNAcentral is "partial 16S ribosomal RNA". It matches the Rfam family "Bacterial small subunit ribosomal RNA", at positions 28 to 507 of the family's 1533-position model. The record is from RNAcentral.
GACGAACGCUGGCGGCGUGCUUAACACAUGCAAGUCGAACGGAAAGGCCCUGCUUUUGUGGGGUGCUCGAGUGGCGAACGGGUGAGUAAAACGUGAGUAACCUGCCCUUGACUUUGGGAUAACUUCAGGAAAAUGGGGCUAAUACCGGAUAGGAGCUCCUGCUGCAUGGUGGGGGUUGGAAAGUUUCGGCGGUUGGGGAUGGACUCGCGGCUUAUCAGCUUGUUGGUGGGGUAGUGGCUUACCAAGGCUUUGACGGGUAGCCGGCCUGAGAGGGUGACCGGCCACAUUGGGACUGAGAUACGGCCCAGACUCCUACGGGAGGCAGCAGUGGGGAAUAUUGCACAAUGGGCGGAAGCCUGAUGCAGCAACGCCGCGUGCGGGAUGACGGCCUUCGGGUUGUAAACCGCUUUCGCCUGUGACGAGGCGUGAGUGACGGUAAUGGGUAAAGAAGCACCGGCUAACUACGUG